UUCCGCCGCGGCGGCGGCCGCGGCCGCGGCGAGGAGCUGGCCGAUGCUGCGGCGGCUCUGGAGGAAGGCGGUGUGGCGCCCGUGCUCUGGCUCUACCACCUCGGGGAGGACAUCAUCUUCUACGGCUUCCUGGCGGCGAUGAUGGCGGCGAACCUCGGCGGCAUCGUGCCCGAGAUCCUCGGCCGCUGGGCCUGCGGCGAGGGCUCCGCCGUGUCGGCCGCUGGCGAGGAGGUCCUCGCGUGCUCCAAGUUCAUUAUAGUGCGCUUCCUCCCGGCUUUCGUCGUCCAGCUCUUCGUGCGCAUCCUCGCCCGCGCCCGGUUCGAAGCCAGGGAGGCGAAGAAGGAGAAGGAGAAGAGGGAGAACAACGAGAAGACAAGCUCGACCGCCAUCAGGGUUGAAUCAUCUAAGGAACAACGUCCAGAAAGUCGAGGAGCACGGCGCUGGGGGCCCAAAGGCUUCAUGCCAUAUGCAAUCUACCUAGCCCCUCCUUUGAUUCAACUUUCUUGUCUUGGCAUUAAGAUGAAAGCCCAUCAUGAGGAAGGAUCUCUUGAAUGGAGGGUGGGCUAUGUGCUUGAUGACUUUGCGAGGUUCACUUCUGCUAUUUUGAUUUCGUUUGUUGGUGUCCCAAGCAUGCUGCUCACAGCGAUGAUUCCCAAGGUGAAGGAUGAUGACACUUCGUCGCAGUGAACUGUUGAAGUUUCAGGGGUUGCUGGUGGUACCUGACUGCUGAGUAACAGGAUGGUUUUUUGGCCGAGUAAUUAACAAGAUCGUGAUGCAACUACUGUUAAUUGGACUAGUGGAGUCCAGUUUCGUUUGCCCUUUCUGUGUUCUGAACCACUCUGGCAUGUCAUACAAUUCUGAACCGCUCUUGGCAUGUCACAUACUUCUGAACCGCUCUUGGCAUGUCAUGUAACUCACCUAGCAAUCGACUAGCGUACUGGUAGGCUUUCUUGUUCAUGUCCCUUGAAUUUCUGGAAAUAUUGUUAAUCUGGCAUGAACACGUGAU
RNAcentral lists this long non-coding RNA (1006 nucleotides) under Oryza sativa Indica Group (long-grained rice). Its description in RNAcentral is "lncRNA OsZS97_08G016140". The record is from RNAcentral. Lineage: Eukaryota; Viridiplantae; Streptophyta; Magnoliopsida; Poales; Poaceae.